UUUUUAUGAGAGUUUGAUCCUGGCUCAGGAUGAACGCUGGCGGCGUGCUUAACACAUGCAAGUCGAGCGAAGCGCAUAACCGGAUUUCUUCGGAUUGAAGGUUUUGUGACUGAGCGGCGGACGGGUGAGUAACGCGUGGGGAACCUGCCCUGUACCGGGGGAUAACAGACAGAAAUGUCUGCUAAUACCGCAUAAGCGCACGA
Molecule: ribosomal RNA, 203 nt
Filed under: Bilifractor porci
Lineage: Bacteria; Bacillati; Bacillota; Clostridia; Lachnospirales; Lachnospiraceae
Description: partial 16S ribosomal RNA
Rfam family: Bacterial small subunit ribosomal RNA
Source: RNAcentral